CAGAGGCAGACAGCCCAUAAU
Molecule: small nuclear RNA, 21 nt
Filed under: Arabidopsis thaliana (thale cress)
Lineage: Eukaryota; Viridiplantae; Streptophyta; Magnoliopsida; Brassicales; Brassicaceae
Description: snRNA_04445
Source: RNAcentral